AUCCUUACCUGUCAGGGGAGAUACCAUGAUCAUGAAGGUGGGUGGUUUUGCAGUCCUCCCAGGCUCGUCCAUUGCACUCCGGAUGUGCUGAUCCCUGCAGUUUCCCCAAAUGUGGGAAACUUGACUGCAUAAUUUGUAGUCGUGGAGGGCUGUGUUUGUGCUUUCCCAUA
Small nuclear RNA from Hippopotamus amphibius kiboko, 170 nucleotides. RefSeq annotates it as U1 spliceosomal RNA. The transcript has a single exon. Lineage: Eukaryota; Metazoa; Chordata; Mammalia; Artiodactyla; Hippopotamidae. The record is from RefSeq and is a predicted model, not a curated record.